Long non-coding RNA from Balaenoptera ricei (Rice's whale), 373 nucleotides. RefSeq lists it as uncharacterized. The record is from RefSeq and is a predicted model, not a curated record. The transcript is spliced from 2 exons. NCBI's taxonomy places the organism in Eukaryota, Metazoa, Chordata, Mammalia, Artiodactyla, Balaenopteridae.
GACCUGCGGGAAGAGUGUUCUGAGGCAGGGGAAACAGCACACACUAAAACCCAAUGAAGGGAACUAAAACCCCCAACGAAUGGAAGAUGUUAACUAGUUGAUGAAGCAUUCUUCAUUCCAGAGAGAAAGUCACAGCUUGAUAACCUUGAGAACCACAGAAGCUCAUCAGGAGACCACCUGAGGACAAUUUAAAAGAAUGCAGGCCCUGCACACACCCUGUUCCUUAUCAGCAACCCCACCCUUGAAGCACUGCUAUAAAACUCCUCACCAAAUCCCCCCAAGUGGGGACACACAGUUUUUGAGGACGUGAGCCCACUGUGUCCCGCUUUGCCUGGCAAAGCAAUAAAGCUAUUCUUUUCUACUUUACCCAGAA